AACGAACGCUGGCGGCGUGCUUAAUACAUGCAAGUUGUGCGAGAAAGCGGGGGCAACCCCGCAAGUAAAGCGGCGCACGGGUGAGUAACACGUAAGUAACCUGCCUUCAAGUUCGGGAUAACCCUGCCAACGCGGGGCUAAUACCGGAUGUGAUCCCGGAGUCGAGUGGCUCUGGGAUUAAAGCUGACCUCUACUUGUAAGUUUGCGCUUGAAGAUGGACUUGCGCACCAUUAGCUAGUUGGUAGGGUAACGGCCUACCAAGGCUGUGAUGGUUAGCCGACCUGAGAGGGCGAUCGGCCACAUUGGGACUGAGAUACGGCCCAGACUCCUACGGGAGGCAG
Molecule: ribosomal RNA, 341 nt
Filed under: uncultured Fibrobacterota bacterium
Lineage: Bacteria; Pseudomonadati; Fibrobacterota
Description: bacterial SSU rRNA
Rfam family: Bacterial small subunit ribosomal RNA
Source: RNAcentral